GCCCGAAUAACCUUAUGGCUAAGGUGCUCGACUCACAUUCGUUCACUCCGGGGUUCGAGUCCCCAUGCGGACU
This 73-nucleotide transfer RNA is filed under the name Fasciola hepatica (liver fluke). It matches the Rfam family "tRNA". Rfam says of the family: Transfer RNA (tRNA) molecules are approximately 80 nucleotides in length. Their secondary structure includes four short double-helical elements and three loops (D, anti-codon, and T loops). The record is from Rfam by way of RNAcentral. Lineage: Eukaryota; Metazoa; Platyhelminthes; Trematoda; Plagiorchiida; Fasciolidae.